UAACACCCAGACUUCGAAGUUGCUGAGUUUGAGGUUGAAGCACUUCAAGAAUCUCCUCAACAUUUUCCUGUAAUUGUGAUUCUUCAUUUCUAUCCCAUGACAAUUCCAACUUGUCCACGUACUUGCUUGACAUAUUAGCUUCUGCGGCAUCCAUUACACUUUUAACUCUCUCCAAGUUCUCAAUGUGAAGGUCUCCUUGAAGGUUCAUCUGUCCUAAUUCUGCUAAAAGAAACCCUUUUUUCUUGCCAACUACGUAUUGUGUUAAAGUUUUCAAGGAUGCCAACAUCCUUACAUGUUGGGGCAAGCUUGAUAGUGAAAUGCAGCCUCUCAAAUAUAGACGUUGUAGAGCUUUCAAGUGUACCAGACUAUUAGGCAACUUUUGGAGAUUUUGACAAUAGUCUAGCUUUAAAAUCUGCAAAUUCCACAACGUACAUAAGGAUUCUGGAAGAGUUUUGAAAUUUCCCCAAGAAAGAUUCAAGUACCUUAGAUAUUUUAAACGACCAAUUGAAGACGACAACUUUUCUUUUCUUUCGAAGUCAAGCACUCGUAAAGAAUAACAUCUCAAUACAUGGGGUGAAAGUUGGUCAUCAUAAUUUAUACAUGUCUUUAACGAUUCAACAUUAUGUAACCUGAUUGAGCAAACAUUCCGAAAAAAGUCCCUCCUACAAAUUGAGAGAUGGCGGAUUUUUUCAGACAUACUAGGUAUGCCACUAUCAUUUGUAAUGUGACAGACCUCUUCUGUGAUAGAUUGAGCAAGAUCAUGAACAAGAUCAUGCAUCGUGAAAUAUACAAUUUGUCCAAAAUCAUCUGUCUGAGUAUCUUGAAAAAAUGAUCUACAAUAUAAUUCAUUCCAUGCUUCAUUACCAAUAUCUUCUGCUUCCAACAUUCCAUUGGAUGGAAUAAAUCCAUUAGCCAUCCAAAGCUCAAUUACAAACUGUUUGCUUAUAAUUUCAUCCUUGGGAAAUAGUGCACAAAAGGCAAAACAUUGUCUCAAUUUUACCGGCAAAUUCAAGUAACUUAAUCUCAACGCAGGCAUGACAGAAUUCUCACCUUGUAAAUUCCAUAGCUUACUUUCCUUGACAUAGCGCCAUUCCUUUUCUUCUCGUUUAAACCGCAAUAAACUUCCCAGUGCUUUUGCUGCGAGAGGGACUCCCCUACACUUUUUUACUAUCUCUUUCCCUAUGACUGCAAGAUCUGACCGUUCAGCCUCAGUUGGUCCAAAUGCUCGUUGUUUAAACAAUUCCCAACAAUCAGUCUCAGAUAGCAUUGAUAUAUCAUGAAAGGGCAUUGUUCCCAUGAUUGCUGCAACCUUUGAAAGACGAGUGGUUACUAAAAUCGAAGCACCCUUGCCUCCACAAGCCAAUACAAAUCUCAAUCUCUGCCAAUUCUCUUGGUCGUCGUCCCACACAUCAUCCAACACCAGCAAAUAUCUUUUUCUUUGCAGCAAAUUUAAAAGUUUUCUUUGCAGCGGCUCUAGCUCUAAAUCCUCACAAGCAUGACCAGAUGUAGAUUCUAUGAUGGCUUUUGUCAUUCUCUUCAAACUGAAAUCUUCUGAAACGCAUACCCAAAUUCUUAGCUCAAAGUAGUUGACUACCUUCUCAUGAUUGAACACAAUUUGGGCAAGUGUUGUUUUCCCAAGUCCACCUAAACCGACAAUUGGAUAAACUGAUAAAUCCUCAAAACUAGAAGCAUCAUCAACCAAAAAGUCUACAAUUUUACUCUUAUCUUCAUCUCUUCCAUAAACUUGAGGUUGAGUAAUAAUUGAGGUGGUUUGUCGCCAGUCAAGGACUUCACAUCUCCUUUCUCUGACUAUCUCAGUCAAAUGAAACUUACUCCUUUCUUCAGCUAUUCCAUCCAAUCUCUCCCUUAUCCUCUUAAUUUUCUUAGCAAUUUUGUAACGGAAAGCAACAUUCUUAGGAUUUAAAGAGGAUAAGCAAGAGCUUUGUACCUUUUGUGAUGGUCCAUAUUUGAAUCCUUUGUACUCCGGUUCUAGUGCUUUGGUGGCACAUUCGUCCAAGAUGUCAUCGAGGACGUGAGCAGCAUCUUUGAGCUUAAGCAGCCAAUCCUUGAUAGCUCUGUUUGAGAAUUGCUUCUCCUCAGCAUCUUCAAGUGUAGCCUUGAUUGUAGUUAGCAAGCUGGAAAGACUUUUCAAUUCACGAUCGACACCUAGAAAUAGGCCAAGCUCCUUCUGAAUGAGUGUGCUCAAAUUAUCAAGGACAACUUCAAUGACAGCCUCAGCCAUGAUUCAAGUGAAUUUCAGCUCACAGAAUGUAAAUGGAAAAGAGUUUGUUUUGUUGAGAAAUUAAUAUCAGAAACAAAGACUAACAAAGUGUAAGUGGUAGGAGAUGUUAUGGUUUGAGUCUGUGAAGUCAACAGGUGACCCACACUGAUUAAUGUAUCUUUGAAAUUUUGCACAAAGUUGUUUAGGUCUCUAUCUACUUUUCAUUGUUAUUUGAUUGAAAUUUCUUGGAAACGACUACAAGGAAUUUUCAUGUUAGAAAAUUAUAAUAAGGUUGAAACUUCACUUAUAUAACAAUCUUGAAUUUUCUUUCAAAUUAUUUGAAUCAAGAAUGUGUUGGUUGAUUUCCUUCCACAAAAAUUUCAUAUUAAUUACCAAAAUAAAGUAAUAUCUCUAUAACAUAACACUAAUAAUAUAAUGAGCAAGUUAAUUGAAAUUAAGACAAAAGAAAGAAAUAAUGUUGAGUAGAUGAUUCAUACCCACAUAGGAAAGAGUUUAAUUUGUAUGCAUCAAUGUAAAAUUAUUUUACACAUGCAUCCAAUCAUACGUUGCCACAUCAUUUAAUGAAUAUAACCAGUCAUAUGUUUUCAAACACAUUACAAGAUGUGGCAACAAAUGAUUGUAUGCAUGCGUAAAAUAAUUUUACGCCGUCAAUGCAUAUAAAUAAAAUUCCACAGGAAAACAAAGUCAGCAGUUCCAUAUUUUGCUGUACGAAAAUAGGGUGAAUUAUUUGCUUGUGUUGGUGAGUGAGCGAGUAUGGAAGAAGGAGCAUGGUUGUUUUAGAAGCAAGGAAUGAUUCUUUCGAGUCUUAAAUUCACAAUCAUUCAUUACAGUAUCACUUGUAUUUAUGUCAGUAUAUAAGCUAUUUAGUUGUGUUGGUGAGUGCGCUGUGAAGGAAUAAUUUUACUUGCGUUUAUUACUGGGUUGAAAAACAAAUAUUUCUGGGUAUAAAAAAUGUCUGUCAAUGUUUUAUCAAAAACUAUAAUGUGUGUCAAUGUCAAACAAUUUUUCAAGCCAUAAAAAUUAGAAAAAUGUUAUCACAUUCUCAUGCACAAAUUUUACAUUAAGACUCGCACAAAUUUUAUAUUAAAAUUGGAACGCCCUUUGAGUUAUGGUUAAUGAGUAUCAUAUAUAUUUGAACACUUAGAAAACUCAGUAAACUCAAUGUUUAUAUAUCAACGGUGAUACUGAUAGACAAAGGAGCAUUAGGAGGGAACAGGUCUGGGUUUAACAAGUCGGUUUUGUUUGAUUUUUCGGGGGAAAAUAAAUCUUAAAUCCAAUACAGUAUCACAAGUACGUAUGUUAUUACAUAAGCUCCAAUACAACAGGACCUAAACUUGAUUCCACAGUUUUUAAAAGUAUAAGACCAACUUUUACUCUUUUUAAUAACACGCCCUCUACAGGAUUUAUACAGAGUAUAUGAUACAGAUUGAGAAUAGGCUGCAUAGUCUCUCCAUUGCCACCACCCUAGCAUGCUAUCUUUCUCACUACACCACCCUAUUAUUGACUCUAAGAUAACAAAAAUGAAGCUGAAAUGUUAGUAUAAGAUAUCUAUGAGGAAGCAGCUAAGAGACUACGUAUCUUGAUUCAUCAUUUCAUCAUUAUCUAUGAAACGCUCAAGCAGCUCCUUCUCUUGCAAAACCAAACAGUCUUCAACCUUACCAAGCCAUUCAUACCGAUUUUUUGCUAUAUAAUCGGACACAGAAGCCCUUAUUGGAGUUGGAAUCACCGACAGACAGUUGAGAGCAGAGUAAGGUAAUGGCAAGUAUGACAGUACGCGCAAUGCAACUGCAUAACAAUAAUGUCACAGUGAGAUUAACACAAAUGACACACAAUGAUGCUGCAUAACAAUAAUGUCGCAAUGAGAUUGACAACAGAGUAGUGACAGUAAUUAACAUACACGCUCAUCUGUUACAUAAAAUGAACGAUCUAAAUAUUUAAAAUUUGUCCGAAAGGACGGCAUUGGCAAGUUCACUAAAUUUAGAUUCAGAGCUCAUUCAUCAUCAUACGAAAUUGUACAAUGCGGACUACAACAGAAAAUUUACACAUUCUAUGAAACAGAUACAAAUUUUGAAACAUUUAUAGUUAUUAAUAUUCGGAGGUUUUUAUAAAAAGAGGAAGAAAGAAUAAAUACUUUGCAUUAAGAAUAUGGUUUGACACGGUUGAUGAUUGUAAAAUGCUAUCAUUAUCUAAACUAGAACUAAACUCAUAAUUCUAAUAAAAUAUGGAAACACAAUCAUCAAUAAUAACUAAGAAAUGUGGAAACUAUUCAUGAAACACUCUAAAAUAAUACCAAGAUAUUUUCAUACUGUUUAACACUUGGCCUCCCUUUCUACUCAAUUGUGAAACACUUCUACCUUGGUCAAUUCAACACAGUAACAAAUUUAUGAUUGCUAGAUCUACAAACUAUUGAACACAAAAUCUUAGAAAAAUCAUUCUCAAGUUGCAAUAUAUUUAAAGGAUUUAAUGUUAAAACUGUUCGCAGUAAAUAAAAUAGUUCAAAGAAAGACAAAAGAACAUAACGGCUGUUGAAGUAAAUUAAGUGAGUGUAUUCUAACCAGUAGAUCUCUACGAGAAUACACUUAAGCCUUGAAUGAAUAAAAAGCGAUGUAGGACAUCCUCUCGUUCAAGACCGGAUGCAACAGAAUUUGAUCUUCAUGUAAUAAAAAACAUUAGGCUAAUGAUCAAAAUUGUAUUCUACAAUGAAAUGUAAUAUAACAAUUGGAACAAAUCUAUGACAAUGCACAAGAUAGUUGAAUGGGGUAUAUUGACAAUGACAUGGUAAACAGAACAUGUUAACUCAGUCUCGCACCACAUUUUACUUUUUUUCCCUGGGGGGUUGGGGGAACUACUGGAUAGUCACAGUCGGUGACUGACCAGCGAUUACGCCUAAAAAACCUUAUUUUGAAUAAUUUAAAGAUCAAGUUACUUUCUCGUAAAAUGCCAAUUGAAAAUAGUAUAACAUUGAAAACACCAUCUAUAACAGCCCUACUUUCUCCGAAUAUAUUUCAUUCAACAUUAUAGAAGUUGCCACAUUCCCACAGCUAAAUCGAUUCUCAAGAAAUUACAUAAAUUUUACCCUAGUCUCUAACAAUAUAUAUACAUAAAAUUGAAAAUAACUUAAUGGAUACUGAUGAUCGAAUGCUAACUGUUCAGAAUACAAAUACUCAUAGGAUCACUAGAUAAGGAACAGCAUUAGCUCCAAUGCCUCUCUUACUUAAGUGCUAAUAUCAAGCAUGAACAUUAACGACUUUUUUAUGCCAACUAGUACCCACUAGGAUUAUUUUAAAGAGUCCCACAUCGGACAAAAGAUGACCUCACAAGCUGGUUUUUGGGUUGUGUUAGGCCCAACCACGAAUAGAUUAAUCAUCUGAGAAAUUUCGCAAGAAGUUGUUGAGGUCUCUAUGUACUUUUUGUUUGUUUUAUGGAAAUAGCUAAAAGAAAAUGACAGGCAAAGAAAAGAAACAAAGUUGAAGCUUCACUGAAAUAACAAGCUUGAACUUAUGGUAGAUAUCGUCACUUUCUUUCUAAUUAUUUCAAUAUAUUUCCACAAAAAAUUUCAAAUUUCAAAAGUAUAGUACCAUCUCAACAUAAGAAUAUAAUCAGCAAAGUACUUUAAAUAAUUUAAAUUAUGACAAGUGAAAGCAAAAAUAUUGAGAGAUGAUACAUACCCAUGUAAGCAAAUAAAAGGCGAUAUAAUGCUACAAUUGGCGCUGGGAUUGAAGCAAACACAGUUGUGUAUUUUCCGGGGUUGAACAAACAAGUGACACAGAUCCAAGAAGUGAAAUAAAACCCAAAAUUUGUAUCCCUUCAGUUUUGCAAGCGCAAAUCUGAACACCAAGCCUGUGAAAACAAAAACACAGGAAUGACACUUCAAUGCCACCAACAUUCAACAAAAUGAAAAAUACCCAAAUAUAAAUGACAUCCACCAAACCCAAAAUUUGUAAUGCUUCAAAAUAGGGUUUACCACCAUAAUAUAUACUUCAAAAUUAUUUCUCUAUAUAUAUAUCAAUUUUCAAAGACCAAAACAUAAUAUAUUGAUAGACACAUGCACUUACAUUUGAGGGAUCUAAACCCACCAAUCUACAGAAUAAGAUCUUCCUCCUCUUCCGCAGAACAUUCCUAUGUUUUGUAUUACAAUAUGUUGCACAUGAGCUAUUUUUGGCCAAUCCUCACCUGUGUUCUCUUUACAUCGUUCCCCUAACUCACUGCAACCAUAAAUUUCCAAACUUUUAAGACCAGUAAGGCAUUGAAUGCUCGUCGGAAGACACGUCAGCUUUGGACACUGAGAAAUACAUAAUUCUUGAAGUAAACUUAGGUUUCCUAACCAGUCAGGUAGGGAUGCUAGGUUUGGAAGAUAACUCAAUGUCAACGAUUGAAGGGAAGUCAUAUGUUGUAAAGCCAGGUGUAAACCUUCUAUUCCUGAGCACAAUUCUAUGCUUAAUUUUUUAAGAGUGUGCAAUCCUUGUAAUACUUCAUCUGCCAAUGACUUCAGGUUAUCACAUUUUGUGAUAUAUAUUUCUUGGAUGGUGCUAAUGUUAAGGAUUUCGGAUGGGAAUUGCUCAAGUUUGCAAAGCCAAAAAAUGUCAAAUGUUUUUAGAGAAAUCAGGUUUCUUAGCAUCCCAUCUGGAAAGCAAGUUAGCUCUUCAUUGUAUUGGAACAUAAGGGAUUCAAGAGUAACUUGUUUAUGAAUUGAACUUAGUAAAUCCGUGUUGCAUUUUCCUCGUAUACACAUAUCAAUGAGAGAGGGAAGACAAGGCAAGCCCAACAAUUCAGGACAUUCAGUAAUUUGAAAUUUAGAAAGGUUUGGGAGUAUGCUUUCUCUAUCAUCCCUUGAUAAGGCUAUCAGGUUUGGCAGCUUCUCUAGAACCAGAUAUUCUAGACGUAUGAAACCUCCUGCAACUCCAUUAUCGCACGACUCCUCGUCUAUGUAUUUUACAAGACUCAUACUAGAUAUUGUUAGACUCUUUAGAGAUGGUAGUUUCCCCAAAUGUGGAAGGUGUAAACAACUUUUGCAAUGCACGAGUUGUAAAGUAUUUAAAUGUUUUAGAGAAGGGCUAGACAUCCAUAGUGGGAAACAGGAACCGGUAUAUCCUAAAACAUCCAGACUUUGAAGUUGUUGAGUUUGAGGUUGAAGAACUUCAAGAAUCUCCUCAACAUUUUCCUGUAAUUGUGACUCUUCAUUUACCUCCCAUCGCAAUUGCAACUUGUCCACACACUUGCUUGACAUAUUAGCUUCCUUGGCAUUCAUUACACUUUUAACUCUCUCCAAGUGCUUAAUGUGAAGUGCUCCUUGAAGGUUCAU
This 7544-nucleotide long non-coding RNA is filed under the name Medicago truncatula (barrel medic). RNAcentral describes it as "long non-coding RNA (MTRU_LNC003033)". The record is from RNAcentral. Lineage: Eukaryota; Viridiplantae; Streptophyta; Magnoliopsida; Fabales; Fabaceae.